RNAcentral lists this ribosomal RNA (460 nucleotides) under uncultured bacterium. Its description in RNAcentral is "partial 16S ribosomal RNA". It matches the Rfam family "Bacterial small subunit ribosomal RNA", at positions 338 to 795 of the family's 1533-position model. The record is from RNAcentral.
CCUACGGGAGGCAGCAGUGAGGAAUAUUGGUCAAUGGGCGCUAGCCUGAACCAGCCAAGUAGCGUGAAGGAUGACUGCCCUAUGGGUUGUAAACUUCUUUUAUAUGGGAAUAAAGUGCAGUAUGUAUACUGCUUUGCGUGUACCUUAUGAAUAAGCAUCGGCUAACUCCGUGCCAGCAGCCGCGGUAAUACGGAGGAUCCGAGCGUUAUCCGGAUUUAUUGGGUUUAAAGGGAGCGUAGGCGGGUUGUUAAGUCAGGUGUGAAAAUUUGCGGCUCAACCGUAAACUGGCAGUUGAUACUGGCAUACUUGAGUUCAGGAGAGGUAGGCGGAAUGCGUGGUGUAGCGGUGAAAUGCUUAGAUAUCACGAAGAACUCCGAUUGCGAAGGCAGCCUGCUGGACUGUAACUGACGCUGAUGCUCGAAAGUGUGGGUAUCAAACAGGAUUAGAUACCCGUGUAGUC